GGGGAUUUAGCUCAGUGGCAUAAGCGCCUGCCUGACAAGCACAAGGUGUGAGUUCAAUCCCCA
RNAcentral lists this transfer RNA (63 nucleotides) under Cavia porcellus (domestic guinea pig). It matches the Rfam family "tRNA", at positions 1 to 62 of the family's 71-position model. From Rfam's summary of the family: Transfer RNA (tRNA) molecules are approximately 80 nucleotides in length. The record is from Rfam by way of RNAcentral. Lineage: Eukaryota; Metazoa; Chordata; Mammalia; Rodentia; Caviidae.